AAUCAACGCUGGCGGCGUGCCUAACACAUGCAAGUCGCGCGCGAAUAGGGGGGCAACCCCUUAGUAGAGCGGCGAACGGGUGAGUAACACGUGGGUAAUCUACCUUCGAGUGGGGAACAACAUCGGGAAACUGGUGCUAAUUCCGCAUGACAUCGUCGGGGCUUCGGUCCUGACGAUCAAAGCCGGGGAUCGCAAGACCUGGCGCUUGAAGAUGAGCCCGCGUCCGAUUAGCAGUUGGCGGGGUAAUGGCCCACCAAGGCUUCGAUCGGUAGCCGGCCUGAGAGGGCGGACGGCCACACUGGAACUGAGACACGGUCCAGACUCCUACGGGAGGCAGCAGUGGGGGAAUUUUUCGCAAUGGGGGGCAACCCCUGACGAAGCAACGCCGCGUGGGGAUGAAGGUCUUCGGAUUGUAAACCCCUGUCGACUGGGACGAAUGUAGAACGGCCAAAUACGCCGAGCUAUUGACUGUACCGGUGGAGGAAGCCACGGCUAACUCUGUGCCAGCCGCCGCAGUAAC
This 520-nucleotide ribosomal RNA is filed under the name uncultured bacterium. Its description in RNAcentral is "bacterial SSU rRNA". It matches the Rfam family "Bacterial small subunit ribosomal RNA", at positions 32 to 524 of the family's 1533-position model. The record is from RNAcentral.